This is a long non-coding RNA of Ictalurus punctatus (channel catfish), 449 nucleotides long. The record is from Ensembl. NCBI's taxonomy places the organism in Eukaryota, Metazoa, Chordata, Actinopteri, Siluriformes, Ictaluridae.
CAGCGAUAUGUCCUCAAUCCUUUUGCAGCUGCAUCUGCUCCCUCCAACCUCAAGAGGCCAGAAAAAAAAUAUCCAAGAUCAGUUCAGUUCAAUCAACCAGCCAUCUUGUGAGCUACCUUAAGGAAGGAGCCAGUGUGACUACCUUCAUUGAGAGUGCUGACACAAGACAACCAUUUCUCCUCUGCAUCGGUGAGCGAAAGAAGGAUAUCCAAAAGUUCUACAUUAUUAUCGACCAAAAGGCGAUCCCAUGUAAGGCGCACACAUCAGUGGCAGCUUUUGAUGAACUGUUCAAAGCUCACUAUGUCUUCAGUUUCUCAUAUGAUGAAGCUCUUUGUGAUUUCUACACAUUUAUCCAAACCACCAUCUAUAACAUCGAUGUCGGAAGAGCAAAGGAGAGCCCGCGUGUUAAAGAACUUUGAGCACGAUUGCUGCAGCGAGAUUAACUGCCU